GCCUGGGUGGCUCAGUCGGUUAAGUGUCCAACUUCGGCUCGGGUCAUAAUCUCGUGGUUCGUGGGUUCAAGUCCCGUCUCGGGCU
Molecule: transfer RNA, 85 nt
Organism: Felis catus (domestic cat)
Lineage: Eukaryota; Metazoa; Chordata; Mammalia; Carnivora; Felidae
Rfam family: tRNA
About the family: Transfer RNA (tRNA) molecules are approximately 80 nucleotides in length. Their secondary structure includes four short double-helical elements and three loops (D, anti-codon, and T loops).
Source: Rfam